This 311-nucleotide ribosomal RNA is filed under the name uncultured eukaryote. RNAcentral describes it as "SSU rRNA". It matches the Rfam family "Eukaryotic small subunit ribosomal RNA", at positions 111 to 414 of the family's 1831-position model. The record is from RNAcentral.
UAUGGUUCCUUUGAUCGUCACAUCCUACAUGGAUAACUGUGGUAAUUCUAGAGCUAAUACAUGCGGAAGAAGCGCCGACCUCACGGUCUGGCGUGCAUUUAUCAGACCAAGACCAACCCGGGGUUCGCCCCGGUCCCUUUGGUGACUCUGGAUAACCCAGCCGAUCGCACGGUCUUCGCACCGGCGACAGAUCAUUCGAAUGUCUGCCCUAUCAACUUUCGAUGGUAGGUUCUGUGCCUACCAUGGUGGCAACGGGUGACGGGGAAUCAGGGUUCGGUUCCGGAGAGGGAGCCUGAGAAACGGCUACCACA